UCUCUGUGAUGUUGAAAACAGAUAAUUAGCCGAUGUAGUCCAUUCUAUUAAACCAUGUGGACAACUGAGGCAUUUGUCUGAGAGAA
This is a non-coding RNA of Triticum aestivum (bread wheat), 86 nucleotides long. NCBI's taxonomy places the organism in Eukaryota, Viridiplantae, Streptophyta, Magnoliopsida, Poales, Poaceae. The record is from Rfam.